RNAcentral lists this ribosomal RNA (254 nucleotides) under uncultured bacterium. RNAcentral describes it as "partial 16S ribosomal RNA". It matches the Rfam family "Bacterial small subunit ribosomal RNA", at positions 524 to 776 of the family's 1533-position model. The record is from RNAcentral.
UACGUAGGGUCCGAGCGUUGUCCGGAAUUACUGGGCGUAAAGAGCUCGUAGGUGGUUUGUCGCGUUGUUCGUGAAAACUCACAGCUCAACUGUGGGCGUGCGGGCGAUACGGGCAGACUAGAGUACUGCAGGGGAGACUGGAAAUUCCUGGUGUAGCGGUGGAAUGCGCAGAUAUCAGGAGGAGCACCGGUGGCGAAGGCGGGUCUCUGGGCAGUAACUGACGCUGAGGAGCGAAAGCGUGGGGAGCGAACAGG